UUUAAUGCUUACAUUGAGCACAGAACUGAAAGAAUGCAUGGUGGUUAACGCUUACCUGGAAAGCAGUCAUCCAAUGGACACGUCUUUUAACCUCACCCAGACUUCCUGCCUCUGUAACGAUUCCCCAAGACACUUAUACUGGCAAUUUGUAGCCAAUGAAACCAUGACUAUAGAGGCUCAUGCUGACGCUGUUUCAGAACUUGGCAUCUGCCCUGACGAUGAGGCAGUGGUACCAAUAGUGGGAAGUCACGCUUCUAUGGAGAAG
This is a long non-coding RNA of Sorex fumeus (smoky shrew), 265 nucleotides long. RefSeq lists it as uncharacterized. The transcript is spliced from 3 exons. Lineage: Eukaryota; Metazoa; Chordata; Mammalia; Eulipotyphla; Soricidae. The record is from RefSeq and is a predicted model, not a curated record.